UUUGUGGGUCUUUUUGAAACAGUGUUCUUUCUUCUUUCUUUCUUUUCUUCAUUCUUCUUUUCUUCAGAGAUAAUGGAGAUAGAGAUGAGACAAUCAAAAUUCAAAAGAAUUUGUGUUUUUUGUGGUAGUACUCCUGGAAAGAAGAGUAGCGAAAGAAGAGUAGCUACAAAGAUGCUGUGAUUGAACUUGGAAGAGAAUUGGCAUCAAGAAAUAUUGAUCUGAUUUAUGGAGGAGUGUUGGUUUGAUUUCUCAAGCUGUUUAUGAUGGUGGCCGCCACGCAAUAGGAGUUAUCCCAAGACACUCAUGCCUGGACGGGUACUUUAUCUUCUCUCACAGUGAAGUUCUAAUUUUUUUUUUUUAAAUUGAAAAAGUGAAAAAAUAAUUUAUUAAAAUAAUAGCCGAGUUAUCUCCAAAAAUGAAAAAUCUAGGAAAAAAAAUAAAAAUAUUAUUUUUCUUAUCUAAAAUUAAUUUAUUUUAUCAUAUUAUUAUUUAAUCUCUUUAGGUCCAUCAUGGAUUUAACAUUGUACUUUUGAAUUAUUGCCACGCCUAAAGUUAGAAUUGGCACCAUUACCAGCAGCAUACCUAGGAUUGCAAGUACCUUGAGAAUGUGAAACAUUAGUAGUAACAAUAUUAGAUGAUGAAAAACUAGAAUUACCGAUGAUAAUUUUAUUUUGGUAAGAAACUCUUCUGAGCAACAUUGGCAAUCAUUGGAAUCGGAUCAUAGGACGGAUCAACUCUUUUGAGAUAUAAUUCAUGAGCUAACAACUUAUCUUGAAGCUCUUCAAACGUGAUAACAGUAUCCCUUGCACGUACAGCCGCAGCUAUAUCACAGAACUCGUUACCGAUGCCAUUUAACAACAUAUACCACCAAAUCAACAUCAGAAACGGUGUUGACACAAAGAGCAAGUUCAUCAGCCAUAUUCUUGAGAGAGUGCAAAUACUCAGUUACCAAUUUGGUGUCCUUUUUUGUGUUGGAGAGUUUCUCUUUGAGAGAAAGAACCCUUGUAGCCGAUUUAUUAGCAAAUGAAACCUGAAGUUCUUCCCAAGCAUCCACAAAAGUCUUUGCAUUGGAAAUAAUAUGUAUAACCGAGAAAUGGAUUGAUGCAAACAAAGCUACUACAAUCAACUGAUUUUUGACAAUACCAUCAAAAUCAUGAUUACUUAAUUCUUGGCCAUCUUUUGUAAUAGUGGCAGCAGGAGGUUUAUUCGUCCCAUCUACAUAACCAAAAAGAUUGUGCCCACGAAGUAAUGGAGAAACCUGAGCACGCCAAGUAGGAUAGUUUUGAGUUGUAAGUUUGAGAUGAAAUUGGAUAGCAUUAAUAACAAUUAUAACCUAGCCAAAAGAAUGAGUGAUAAUGGAAUUGGUUGACAAAGCCAUAGCAAUGAAAAAGAAAGAUUAGUUAUAGGAUAAAAAAAGCUUAGAGCUUAUUGCUCUGAUACCAUAAAGAGAACUGAAAGAGAUUGAACUGCAGC
This is a long non-coding RNA of Jatropha curcas, 1473 nucleotides long. RefSeq lists it as uncharacterized. The record is from RefSeq and is a predicted model, not a curated record. NCBI's taxonomy places the organism in Eukaryota, Viridiplantae, Streptophyta, Magnoliopsida, Malpighiales, Euphorbiaceae.